AACGAACGCUGGCGGCAGGCUUAACACAUGCAAGUCGAACGCCCCGCAAGGGGAGUGGCAGACGGGUGAGUAACGCGUGGGAACAUACCCUUUUCUACGGAAUAGCUCUGGGAGCCUGGAAUUAAUACCGUAUAUGCCCUACGGGGGAAAGAUUUAUCGGGGAAGGAUUGGCCCGCGUUGGAUUGGCUAGUUGGUGGGGGAAAGGCCUACCAAGGCGACGAUCCAUAGCUGGUCUGAGAGGAUGAUCAGCCACAUUGGGACUGAGACACGGCCCAAACUCCUACGGGAGGCGGCAGUGGGGAAUAUUGGACAAUGGGCGCAAGCCUGAUCCAGCCAUGCCGCGUGAGUGAUGAAGGCCUUAGGGUUGUAAAGCUCUUUCACCGAUGAAGAUAAUGACGGUAGUCGGAGAAGAAGCCCCGGCUAACUUCGUGCCAGCCGCCGCAGUAA
RNAcentral lists this ribosomal RNA (447 nucleotides) under uncultured bacterium. RNAcentral's name for it is "partial 16S ribosomal RNA". It matches the Rfam family "Bacterial small subunit ribosomal RNA", at positions 29 to 523 of the family's 1533-position model. The record is from RNAcentral.